Molecule: long non-coding RNA, 722 nt
Filed under: Chinchilla lanigera (long-tailed chinchilla)
Lineage: Eukaryota; Metazoa; Chordata; Mammalia; Rodentia; Chinchillidae
Description: lncRNA (ENSCLAG00000022880.1)
Source: RNAcentral
CCCCUUUGUCUAAAUCGGGAGACAGAGGGGAAGUUCAGCCCUGUCAGUAUCAGCCAUCCUCUGGAAUCUGGGGCCAGGCCUUUGAGCAGACAGGCAUUCCGAAUCCUCAGUCUCUCAGCAGCGCCUAGCAAUUAUCAUAACCUGACAACAGACCCAUCAAGAUAAGGGGCUAGGCAGUUAUGGUUCGUCUUUCUUCGGUCACUAAUGUUGUGGGAGCUGUUCCUGCUUCCCACCCUUACUACGCAGCGCUUGAGUGGCAGGAAGUUUUACACUGAGGAGCUCCUCCAUCUCACUAGAAGCUGUGGCCACUCACAUGUUGUUCAGAGCCCUGGUGUGGGUUAACCCUGGACUGAAGACGUCUCCCAUUCUCUGGAGAUUUCUUCUCUGCAACUGGCCUCCCUUGCCAGUCCCCAAUCAUUUUAAAUCUGGAAGCCAUGUUGUUUUUCACUCCAUCAGCGAAAGCAUGUAGCCAGUGAGAAUUGCUACACAAACCGGAGUUCCCUGGAAGAGGCCUUUAUUCUCAGAGCCUGAGAUUGUGUUGGCUGGAAGCAGGAACCUGUUGAAUACAUAAAAACAAAACAAAAGAAAACAAAAGCACAGUUGUCUGGCAUGGCUGUGUUGUUGGCUGGUGCGAAAACUGAAAUCCUCCUGGGCUACAUCUUCUUUUGCUACGUUGGCCUCAUUUCUGUAGGAGGAACAUGUGUGGAGCAGUCAGAUGAGGC